Non-coding RNA from Salmo salar (Atlantic salmon), 4377 nucleotides. The record is from RefSeq and is a predicted model, not a curated record. NCBI's taxonomy places the organism in Eukaryota, Metazoa, Chordata, Actinopteri, Salmoniformes, Salmonidae.
UUAAAUUACAUAGUUAUGUUUCAGUGAUAUAUUGGGGGGGACAAAUCAUAUUUUUCCCAGGAUGGGGGGGUCGUGUCCCCCCCGGGAUUUCUGCCCCUGCUACUAUCAGAAGAAAAACAAUAGGCUGGGCAACACCUCCGACUGGACAGUUAAUCUAUAUACAGUUAAUCUAUAUACUCAUUUGGUCUCCCAUCCAGGGUCUUAACCAAGCCCAGCUUUGAUAUUUGUCACUGCCUAUUACCAAUGUGCUAUCGUAAGAAUGAUUGAGAGAUCUCUUAAUAACUAAAUAGAUUCACUGUUGCUAUUGAAAUCAUUCCAAAGGAGAGGUUUAACAGAGCAAAUGAAACGUAACCAUACUUUAUAAAUCAUAUAUCAAUGAUACUAUUUAGUCUUUUAUAGCAUUUGCAAAGCCACCAACAGCUAUUGUUUAAAAUUCAACAAAGGGUCCAAGUAAAAAUCGAUAAUACAUAUAGACCCAGGGUUUCAAGCUUUAGUUGGUUUCUAAUUUUAACACAAUUGAUAUGUGGUAUUGACGUCUCCAUCUCAACCAAAAAUGAAGAAUAGGACUAAAUCAAACCAAUCAAACAUUAAAUGCACCUUAAAUAAAGUUUGAUUUGAUUUAGUGCUAUUCUUUAACUUAGAUUUUUGGUUGAGAUGGAGAUGUGAUUCUGACGCGUCAAUUAUUAAUUUGUAGACGAACUGGAAAUAAAGCCAGACUAAGUCAGUGACACAAAAGAUACAUCUCCUUCAAAAUGUUGAUAUUUGGUUGCAUUGGCAACCAAACACAAUUCAAUAUUACUUUUGUAAUACAGUAAAUAGCCUAUUAACUUGUCGACAAGUUAACAAGUGAUAUGUUGGCUGAGGAUAUACUAAAAAUGUCUGGUAUGUAAUGACAUUUUAAUUCAAAGUAAAUGUAAAUUCUUUAUUUUUAUGUAGUUGUGUGGGACAGCCGUAUGAUCAGUUCAUGCCUAUGAUUUCAGAGUUCAACAAAGCCAACAGCUGCUUCAUGUGUGCCACUGAUAAAGAACCUGGAUGUGGCCCAAAGACUGACUGGGCUAGUAACUUUAUUUAACAUGUUUAUAAUCUUUUGACAACAGUGACGGCAUGUAAGACAAUUUAUGAUAUAACACAAUGGAUGGCUAAUUCGUCAUUCGUCAUACUGCAUUGAUAUUUGAUAUUAUUUAUAACGUGUUACUUUGUUUUGUUUUAGACUGAAUGUUUUGCAUGCCAAUGGUGGUUCCAUGUGCUGUAACUAGGAAUGAAGACAAAAUAGUUCCGAGUAAAGAACACAAACUGGAAGUGCAGUCUUUGUUGUUGAAAAUGUCCGCUAUACCCCAUCCACACUGAAGAGGCUCUGAAAUGUACAUCAACCAGGGAUAAAGAGGAAGUUAACACUGAAAUGUUUCAUACUUAUUUGAAGUUAAAAGUGUCUGUUGACAUGUUGGAAAAGAUUAAUGGUCUACAAUUUGUUUAAUUUGUCAAUAUUACAUUUUUAUUCCUUGAUUUACUGGCCACCAUUACUGUGGUUACAUGUUCAGUAUAUGUAUUGACCAGCAAACCCACUGCAGCCUACCUCACUAGCUCACUCUCCAUCCCUGCUUUGGACAAUUAAUAGCAUGACUCUCAUACUUUGCCCUUUUCCUUUAUGGUUGAUAUUAACUGUCUCUCCUAUUGUGUACCGCUGUUAAAUACUGUGGAAAAAUAAAACACAGGGGAAAAAAGUACUUAGAACUACCAAUUAUUAUAGAUAAAUAUUAAAGAAAAGGGUAAACACAACACUGGACUGAACCCCCUAAAUGGCAAACUAAUAUUAAUGUUCAACAAUAUAGAAGAGACAUAAAUAGAGGGUAUGCAAUAUGGGUGUAUAUCCACUGCACGCUUCUUAGGUGUGUAAUUGACAUGACCAAGGAGCUAUUGAAAUGUAAAACUAUUAAAAAUGCAUGUUACACCGCGUUAUUUAACAGCACACAAACAGGAGUGUGCAAUAUAGAAGGGUACAUUCUGCACGUUCUGCAUGUUUGAAGUCACAAGGUCACAUGACCAAGGAGCUAUUGAAAUUUUACAUUUUGAAAAAUUCAUGUAAAAACGUGUGAGAUGAAAAUGGACAAACUAAAGGGUUGCAAUAUAGAAGGGUAGUCAGUGGACAUUCUGGACCUUGUUUGAGUCAGGUAGGUCACAUGACCAAUGAGCUAUUGAAAUUCGAAUGUUAAAAAGCUGGUACUUUGUUUACGCUCCCUAACUAAUUCAACUAGGAAUACAAACAUGCUGCUCACAUUUCCACACGUUUAUUAGCUCUGGAAGGCGAAUGAAUGUCCAAAUCGUGAAAAUAAGACCUGUGCAGUGUUGUGCGCAAUUCUUCCAACAUAAUGACACUUAUUUGGAGUCUGUGGCUCAAGUGGUUUGAAAGCUAUUGAGGUUUAAAAGUGCGAAUAUCCGUCCAAUAUCCAACCUGAAACUGGCUUUACCUCGGUCGAUAUUCUUCCCUUCUGCAAACACUUGACACAUGACCACAUCUUUUACAUGUACGACACUGAAGAUGCUUGUGCACAAAAGCUCUUACAGGGUAUCUCAUGAAUCCAAACGUUAUAGGACAAGGGAGAGACUCUUCAUCAAAGACUAGCAUGGAUGAAGUGAACUUUUCUCCGUCCACCAUACAGGUCAAUCGACGUGCACCAACCACUCCAUCGAUGUCUUCAGUCAUAUCGUGUGGUUUCAUUUCUUGCGCGAACCCAGAAAUAACCCUCUUGAUAGGCGCCCUGCUACGAAAAUCCAUGCAGAAAACAUACCACUCCGAUCUUUUUGAGUCUUUAAAACACGCUUCUACAAAUCUAAAUCUCUUGACUGGAGACGAUAAACGAGUCUAGUGGUUUCCUAUUUUACAACAUAAGUUGAGUUCUCGUUUCCCUUUUUCUUCGCCACUGUGUAACCAACUCAUUCUCACUUCCUGUGAAAGGAGUCACAACUAGACUCACUAUUGCUUUCAAACGAAACCUCGUUUCCGCCAUUCCUUCCUUCUACCCCCCACCUCCGUUCUCGCACGUCCUCGGUUUGUUUUCUGAAAAUUCGAUUUGGGGCCAGGGCGAAUAUAAUUGGAACCAAUCAUAUUGGUGGUUGGAUUGUUAGUUGACUGUCUCGCAUUCCCAUUGGCUGACAGUGUCAUUUCACUUAGUUGUGACAAUUGAGACAGAGACGGAUGCGCUCCUGAGGCGCAAAUGUAAAGCAAGUGAAUAGACAUUUAAAGUCCCAGCAGUAGAGAACUGGAAAAUGACAACGCUUCAAUAUUUGGGAAUAUCAGUACUUUUCAUCAUCGCUAGUGAUUCCAGAGAGCUGGCGGGCAACUCUCAACAAGAAGCAGUAUAUUGACCGGAUGCUGUUUACCAGGAGCCGCCUACGGAGCUCACAGUUCAUCACUGUCCUUGCCCCGGUGGGGUGUAGAGGGUGAUGUCCUUCCUACCUCCAAGGCCUGCCUCAGAAAGUUCUGUGCUGGCGGGCAACUCUCAACAAUCAUCAUCAGCAGCGUUGGAUUGGCCGGACGCUGUUUAGGCAGGAGCAGCAUGGGGAGUUCACAAUUCAUCACUGACUUGCUUGAGAGACACCAGACUAACAUCAGUCCAGUGUGAGCUGGCGGCCAGCAGUGGAUUGGCAGGACGCUGUUUACCAUCGCCCGACCCUCUUCUUUGCAUGUCCACUGUUCCUCUGGAUGCUGCUUUGUAUGUGGGCAUUUAAGCUGACACGCCCCCUGCCUGGGUGAGGGCACAAUUCAUCACAGACUUGCUUGAGACACCAGACUAAUGAUGGUCCAGUGUUGGCUUGUGUAACCCAUGCUGACGUGUGACAUUUUGUAACUAAUCAGCAUUUCACUGAAAUGUGUGGCAUGAAUAUACAAUGCUUUAAACUGUCUACUACAAAGGGACAGUUACAGACACUCUGUCAUUUCUAUGGCCUCUAACUUCAAAAUUUAAAUUGUGAACUGAAAAUAACUAAGUGCUGCUGAGGGGAAGACUGUAGAACAGUGGCUGGUGGAGAAGAGGCGCGAAGGGGCAAGGUGCUGAAGGAAACUGAGCCACUCGUUGGGUGGUCGUUAAACAUUCCUUUUGUACAGUAACAGUCAAAAGUUUGGACACGCCUACUUAUUCAAGGGUUUUUAUUUUUUACUAUUUUCUACAUUGUAGAAGAAUAGUGAAGACAUCUAAACUAUGAAAUAACACAUGGAAUCAUGUACCAACCCAAAAGGUUUUAAGCAAAUGUAAAUAUAUAAAGUUGCCACCCUUUGCCUUGAUGACAGCUUUGCACACUCUUGGCAUUCUCUCAACCAGCUUCACAGUCUUGAAGGAGUUCCUGUAUAUUCUGAGCACUUGUUGGCUGCUUUUCCUUCAC